GAGAAGAACGUAGCGAAAUGCGAUAAGUAAUGCGAAUUGCAGAAUUUCCGUGAGUCAUCGAAUCUUUGAACGCACAUUGCGCCCACUGGUAUUCCGGUGGGCAUGCCUGUUCGAGCGUCAUUAUCCUCCCUCAAACCCCGGGUUUGGUGUUGGACCCAAGUUGUGUGAACAACUGGUCUCAAAGACAAUGACGGCGUCCGUGGGACCCUCGGUGCAACGAGCUUUUAGGAGCACGCAUCGAGUUGCAAGGACCUUCCGGGCCGGUCUCCUUUACCAUUUUACAAGGUUGACCUCGGAUCAGGUAGGAAUACCCGCUGAACUUAAGCAUAUCAAUAAGCGGAGGA
This 344-nucleotide unclassified non-coding RNA is filed under the name soil metagenome. Its description in RNAcentral is "partial contains 5.8S ribosomal RNA, internal transcribed spacer 2, and large subunit ribosomal RNA". The stretch from base 3 to 120 matches the Rfam family "5.8S ribosomal RNA", at positions 38 to 154 of the family's 154-position model. The record is from RNAcentral.